GAUGAAGAACGUAGCGAAAUGCGAUACGUAAUGUGAAUUGCAGAAUUCAGUGAAUCAUCGAAUCUUUGAACGCACAUUGCGCCCGCCAGCACUCUGGCGGGCAUGCCUGUUCGAGCGUCAUUUCAACCAUCAAGCCCCAGGCUUGCGUUGGAGCCCUGCGGCUGCCGCAGCCUCCUAAAAGCAGUGGCGGGCUCGCUAUCACACCGAGUGCAGUAGAUUACUCUUCGCUCAGGGCGUGCAGCGGGUUCCGGCCGUGAAACUCCCUACUUUUAAAGGUUGACCUCGGAUCAGGUAGGAAUACCCGCUGAACUUAAGCAUAUCAAUAAGCGGAGGA
Molecule: unclassified non-coding RNA, 334 nt
Filed under: soil metagenome
Description: partial contains 5.8S ribosomal RNA, internal transcribed spacer 2, and large subunit ribosomal RNA
Rfam family: 5.8S ribosomal RNA (bases 1-120)
Source: RNAcentral